This 252-nucleotide ribosomal RNA is filed under the name uncultured microorganism. RNAcentral describes it as "partial 16S ribosomal RNA". It matches the Rfam family "Bacterial small subunit ribosomal RNA", at positions 524 to 776 of the family's 1533-position model. The record is from RNAcentral.
UACGUAGGUCCCGAGCGUUGUCCGGAUUUAUUGGGCGUAAAGCGAGCGCAGGUGGUUUAAUAAGUCUGAUGUAAAAGGCAGUGGCUCAACCAUUGUAUGCAUUGGAAACUGGUAGACUUGAGUGCAGGAGAGGAGAGUGGAAUUCCAUGUGUAGCGGUGAAAUGCGUAGAUAUAUGGAGGAACACCGGUGGCGAAAGCGGCUCUCUGGACGGUAACUGACGCUGAGGCGCGAAAGCGUGGGGAGCAAACAGG